RNAcentral lists this non-coding RNA (199 nucleotides) under Cylindrotheca closterium. The record is from RNAcentral. Lineage: Eukaryota; Bacillariophyta; Bacillariophyceae; Bacillariales; Bacillariaceae.
ACAAGCAAAAAAAACUCAAAUUUUUUGUUUUUUUUUUUUUUUUUAAACAGAUGAAAAAUCCCGAGUUAUAUCAACCUUAUUGAUCUAUCUCUCACUCUCAAGAAAAAACAAACAUAAGCCCACGUUGAUAAAACUCCAUUCAAAAAUCUAAACAUCAACGCAUUCAAUCAAUUUAGAGUUGUCCAGAAGCCUCAAUCUU